CGGAGUGAGGACGGUGACAGCCACGCGCGCGCGUACGCGCCCGAUGCAGCGCGGCCCCGUGACCCUAGUCGGCCGCUGAGAGGCGCGCGGAGUCUGGGCCGCUGCCGUCUAGGGGUCCCGUCCCGAGGCGUCCCCGGCAUCUCCGGCCCGAAUCCCGGAGUGCCGGGUCGCGCCUGCACCGAAGGUCCCGGCUCCUGUGCCCUCCCUGCAGCCGUCAGGGCCCGUCCCCCAAC
This 233-nucleotide long non-coding RNA is filed under the name Homo sapiens (human). RNAcentral describes it as "non-protein coding lnc-NEFH-1:2". The record is from RNAcentral. Lineage: Eukaryota; Metazoa; Chordata; Mammalia; Primates; Hominidae.